Molecule: ribosomal RNA, 490 nt
Filed under: uncultured bacterium
Lineage: Bacteria
Description: partial 16S ribosomal RNA
Rfam family: Bacterial small subunit ribosomal RNA
Source: RNAcentral
GACGAACGCUGGCGGUAUGCUUAACACAUGCAAGUCGAACGAGACAAGAUGGAAGUGCUUGCACGGAAAUCUUAGAAAGUGGCGAACGGGUGAGUAACGCGUGGGUAACCUGCCCUAUGGAAAGGAAUAGCCUCGGGAAACUGGGAGUAAUGCCUUAUAAGAUAUAUUUGUCGCAUGGCAGAUGUAUUAAACGCUCCGGUGCCAUAGGAUGGACCCGCGUCCCAUUAGCUAGUUGGUGAGAUAACAGCCCACCAAGGCGACGAUGGGUAACCGGUCUGAGAGGGCGAACGGUCACACUGGAACUGAGACACGGUCCAGACUCCUACGGGAGGCAGCGGUGGGGAAUAUUGCGCAAUGGGGGAAACCCUGACGCAGCAAUACCGCGUGAGUGAAGAAGGUUUUCGGAUCGUAAAGCUCUGUUAUCGGGGAAGAAAAAAGACGGUACCCAAGAAGAAAGUCCCGGCUAACUACGUGCCAGCAGCCGCCGUAA